UGAAUUUAUGUUUUGAAAAAAGAGAUUGUAAUAUGCUAAUAAUGGCUCAAAGAUGUAACUUACAAGUCAAUGGUAUAACGAUACCAUAAGCAUGUAUGUCAUAACAGAGUAUGUUUUCAGAAUAUGUUUUCGUAGAAUGCAUGUUUUAAAGUGUUAAAAAUGGGCUUAAAGAGGGUUAGGUGGUUACCCAAAGAAGGCUUGAGUUCAAGUAAAUCUUAGCCUAAAAC
RNAcentral lists this long non-coding RNA (227 nucleotides) under Capsicum annuum. RNAcentral's name for it is "long non-coding RNA (CANN_LNC022027)". The record is from RNAcentral. Lineage: Eukaryota; Viridiplantae; Streptophyta; Magnoliopsida; Solanales; Solanaceae.